GAUGAACGCUGACAGAAUGCUUAACACAUGCAAGUCGAUUCAAGUUACCUUCGGGUAAUGAGGAUGGCGGACGGGUGAGUAACGCGUAAGGAACUUGCCUCUUGGUCUGGGACAACUGUUGGAAACGACAGCUAAUACCGGAUAUUAUGAGAUUCUCGCAUGGGAAACUUAUGAAAGCUAUAUGCGCCAAGAGAGAGCCUUGCGUUCCAUUAGCUAGUUGGUGGGGUAACGGCCCACCAAGGCGACGAUGGAUAGCCGGCCUGAGAGGGUGAACGGCCACAAGGGGACUGAGACACGGCCCUUACUCCUACGGGAGGCAGCAGUGGGGAAUAUUGGACAAUGGACCAAAAGUCUGAUCCAGCAAUUCUGUGUGCACGAUGAAGGUCUUCGGAUUGUAAAGUGCUUUCAGUUGGGAAGAAGCAAGUGACGGUACCAACAGAAGAAGCGACGGCUAAAUACGUGCCAGCAGCCGCGGUAAUACGUAUGUCGCAAGCGUUAUCCGGAUUUAUUGGGCGUAAAGCGCGUCUAGGCGGAAAAAUAAGUCUGAUGUUAAAAUGCGGGGCUCAACUCCGUAUUGCGUUGNAAACUGNUUUUCUAGAGUACUGGAGANGUGGGCGGAACUACAAGUGUAGAGGUGAAAUUCGUAGAUAUUUGUAGGAAUGCCGAUGGAGAAGUCAGCUCACUGGNCAGAUACUGACGCUGAAGCGCGAAAGCGUGGGG
Molecule: ribosomal RNA, 720 nt
Filed under: uncultured prokaryote
Description: bacterial SSU rRNA
Rfam family: Bacterial small subunit ribosomal RNA
Source: RNAcentral